RNAcentral lists this ribosomal RNA (948 nucleotides) under Microbacterium hydrocarbonoxydans. RNAcentral describes it as "bacterial SSU rRNA". It matches the Rfam family "Bacterial small subunit ribosomal RNA", at positions 51 to 1007 of the family's 1533-position model. Lineage: Bacteria; Bacillati; Actinomycetota; Actinomycetes; Micrococcales; Microbacteriaceae. The record is from RNAcentral.
ACACAUGCAAGUCGAACGGUGAACACGGAGCUUGCUCUGUGGGAUCAGUGGCGAACGGGUGAGUAACACGUGAGCAACCUGCCCCUGACUCUGGGAUAAGCGCUGGAAACGGCGUCUAAUACUGGAUACGAACCACGAAGGCAUCUUCAGUGGUUGGAAAGAAUUUCGGUUGGGGAUGGGCUCGCGGCCUAUCAGCUUGUUGGUGAGGUAAUGGCUCACCAAGGCGUCGACGGGUAGCCGGCCUGAGAGGGUGACCGGCCACACUGGGACUGAGACACGGCCCAGACUCCUACGGGAGGCAGCAGUGGGGAAUAUUGCACAAUGGGCGAAAGCCUGAUGCAGCAACGCCGCGUGAGGGAUGACGGCCUUCGGGUUGUAAACCUCUUUUAGCAGGGAAGAAGCGAAAGUGACGGUACCUGCAGAAAAAGCGCCGGCUAACUACGUGCCAGCAGCCGCGGUAAUACGUAGGGCGCAAGCGUUAUCCGGAAUUAUUGGGCGUAAAGAGCUCGUAGGCGGUUUGUCGCGUCUGCUGUGAAAUCCGGAGGCUCAACCUCCGGCCUGCAGUGGGUACGGGCAGACUAGAGUGCGGUAGGGGAGAUUGGAAUUCCUGGUGUAGCGGUGGAAUGCGCAGAUAUCAGGAGGAACACCGAUGGCGAAGGCAGAUCUCUGGGCCGUAACUGACGCUGAGGAGCGAAAGGGUGGGGAGCAAACAGGCUUAGAUACCCUGGUAGUCCACCCCGUAAACGUUGGGAACUAGUUGUGGGGUCCAUUCCACGGAUUCCGUGACGCAGCUAACGCAUUAAGUUCCCCGCCUGGGGAGUACGGCCGCAAGGCUAAAACUCAAAGGAAUUGACGGGGACCCGCACAAGCGGCGGAGCAUGCGGAUUAAUUCGAUGCAACGCGAAGAACCUUACCAAGGCUUGACAUAUACGAGAACGGGCCAGAAAU